AUUCAGAUAGCUUAAAUAAGAGCAUAAUAUUGAAGCUAUUAAGGUGAUUUAUAAAUCUUUGAAUA
Non-coding RNA from Phlebotomus papatasi, 65 nucleotides. Lineage: Eukaryota; Metazoa; Arthropoda; Insecta; Diptera; Psychodidae. The record is from the annotation of a RefSeq genome assembly.